RNAcentral lists this ribosomal RNA (322 nucleotides) under uncultured eukaryote. Its description in RNAcentral is "partial 18S ribosomal RNA". It matches the Rfam family "Eukaryotic small subunit ribosomal RNA", at positions 1470 to 1796 of the family's 1831-position model. The record is from RNAcentral.
CCCUUAGAUGUUCUGGGCCGCACGCGUGCUACACUGAGUGGAUCAGCGGGUCAGGUUGCGCGAAAGUGUUUCCUAAUCUUUAAAUCCGCUCGUGAUGGGGAUUGACGGUUGCAAUUUUCCGUCAUGAACGAGGAAUACCUUGUAAGCGCGGGUCAUCAUCCCGCGCUGAAUACGUCCCUGCCCUUUGUACACACCGCCCUUCGCUCCUACCGAUUGAGUGGUCCGGUGAGGCUUUGGGAUCUGGGCGGAAAGAGCGUUUCGCUGUUUCUGCCCGGAAAACUCAGUCGAACCUUAUCAUUUAGAGGAAGGAGAAGUCGUAACA